UACAGAGGGGGCAAGCGUUGUUCGGAAUUACUGGGCGUAAAGGGCGCGUAGGCGGCCUGCUAAGUCGAACGUGAAAUCCCCGAGCUCAACUCGGGAACUGCGUCCGAUACUGACAGGCUUGAAUCCGGGAGAGGGAUGCGGAAUUCCAGGUGUAGCGGUGAAAUGCGUAGAUAUAUGGAGGAACACCGAUGGCGAAGGCAGCCCCCUGGGAUGUGACUGACGCUCAUGUACGAAAGCGUGGGGAGCAAACAGG
RNAcentral lists this ribosomal RNA (253 nucleotides) under uncultured bacterium. Its description in RNAcentral is "partial 16S ribosomal RNA". It matches the Rfam family "Bacterial small subunit ribosomal RNA", at positions 524 to 776 of the family's 1533-position model. The record is from RNAcentral.